Molecule: long non-coding RNA, 767 nt
Filed under: Lingula anatina
Lineage: Eukaryota; Metazoa; Brachiopoda; Lingulata; Lingulida; Lingulidae
Description: uncharacterized LOC106176422
Source: RNAcentral
UGCUGGUACAUUAAUCAAUGAAGCAGUGUUAGCUAUGGAGUAUGGAGCAUCUUGUGAAGAUGUCGCCAGGGUCUGUCACGCUCACCCUACGGUUGCUGAAGCACUACGAGAGGCCAACCUAGCAGCUUACUGUGGGAAACCUAUCAACAUUUAAACAUACUUGGAAUGUACUUUUAACCUCCAGUAAAUGCUGCAGUGACUUUAUAUAAGAGAUUGAAACAGCAUAAUGAGGGAGUUGUCAAUAUUUUGGGAUUUGGUGUAGCUUUGAGAUGUGUGGAAGAUUUGACACAGUUGAAUAGUGAUUUGGGAUUACUUUUUAUCUGUCACUGCCUCAUUUAUAAUGUAUGGUAGGAUACAAGGCAAAAGCAACACACGGAGAGAGUAAUAUGGAAAUACAAUAAGACUGUCGUGGUAUGACAAAACGAUAUUUGAUAAGCUCCACAUAAAAAAAUAUAUACCUGGCUUGUAUAACACAAAGAUCCAGAAUGGUGACAUUCUUUCUCGUUUCUAAUAAAUGUUUAAAAAGGCAGAACAUUCAAAUAAUUUGCAUAAGAAAAUGUCAAUCUCCCUGUUCAUCAGCUUUAUAUCUCAAGUUCUGCUAGUUUAAGUUCUUUGCAUGAUCAAACUGAUCAGAGAAUCAGUUAUUGGUUUUUGUAAUGGUAUUAGUUCAUUAAAAGAAAAUGAAAUACACUCCUUAAGAGUUAUAACACACCGCUAAUGUAUUUAUAUGUAUUUCUUUUCUGGAUUAAAGAGCAUUAUUUAUCAUA